GCUCUGCAAUGGAGCAGCAGCUCAGGACUGCAGCUCCAAGGCUGCCUUGACACCAUGGAAGUGGAGGCUGCACCAGACAGGAAAAAAGUCUCUAUUUCCUCUAACAACCCUUUAGCUACAACAUGUAAUCUCAAGUACUGAGCCAGACAUCUAACUACCCUUUAUCUCCAGCAAAAAAAACUACUCCUUCCUAUUCCUCUUUUAUGUUUGAACUAGCUAUUUUCUCCAGGUGUUUUUUUACCUUGUCAUAAUCCAUUACCUUCACAUGCUUUGAUCUUUCCAUUGGGAGUUUAUUUUCUCCCUUCAAAGAUCUUUUCCAGUCAGAAGAUAUUUUUCACAGGCUCUGUUCCAUUCAGAUGUCACAGUUUGAUGCUUUUCUUUCCCUGCCUUUUUUUUUUUUUUAAAUUUAUGAACAUUUAAGAAAUCAAAUUUCAGAUUAGAACCAAGCCAGGCAAGUUUCUUCCUGACGACACAAGAUGUGGCCUCUGAUGAAGAAUCCAAAGGACACACAUUGUGUACACACUGCUGGAAUAAAUUCACUCCACAGAAGGUUUUGUGAGGCAAAAUAGUUACAGGAGAGCAAAGAUAUUCAAAGACAGAAGGCCAGAGACAGCAGCAAUCUCAUUCUGUGUUCAGCAGAGAGGGCUGCGUGCAUGAAACUGACUGUCACAGCAAACAUGCUGAUGGACAGGUCUUUGCUUCAGCACUGCUGCUGCUGCUGCAGCCAUGCAUCAGCCCCAGGAUGAAAUGCAAGAGACCACAUCGCUUUCAUGAGCGUGAGACUGACGUGGAGAACGUGAUUCCUGUCAAGAUUUGUGUGGGGCAGAUCCUGCCUUUCCAUUCCUCCCCCCAUCUCCCUAAAAUGUUCAGUGCAAGGAAAGAGGCAUCAAGGUGUUAAGUGACUUGAAGUAUUUUUGUAUUUGUAUCAUCUAGUAAACAAAGUUGCUGAAAAAUGUCAUUGUGUGAUCUUCACACGUGUGUGGGAGAC
RNAcentral lists this long non-coding RNA (988 nucleotides) under Cyanistes caeruleus (blue tit). RNAcentral's name for it is "lncRNA (ENSCCEG00000020582.1)". Lineage: Eukaryota; Metazoa; Chordata; Aves; Passeriformes; Paridae. The record is from RNAcentral.